Long non-coding RNA from Acanthopagrus latus (yellowfin seabream), 1977 nucleotides. RefSeq lists it as uncharacterized. NCBI's taxonomy places the organism in Eukaryota, Metazoa, Chordata, Actinopteri, Spariformes, Sparidae. The record is from RefSeq and is a predicted model, not a curated record. The transcript has 3 exons.
AGGUCAGAUGAGGGUUUUUAUUGGCUCCAGCUCCAAUCAGCAGCAGUGGAAACAUGAACCUUGUUCAGACGUACCCAUUAUCGCUCUUUUCCUGCACAAUGCCAUCGCUCGCGGUGAAAUUUUGGACAAUGGCAUCAGAAACUGAAGCCCACACAACAGAAGGGUCCGGACGAACCGGAGCUGCAGCAGAGAAGAGGCAUAACGAAGGUGGAUCUGAGACGGGCCGAACACGGAUCUGGUGGAAUUGAGGGCCCAAAUGUUUGUCACUCAUCAGUACGCUGCUGCUCCACUGAAGGCAGAAGAUUUCUUCCUUUCUCCUCUUUGUUGUUGACAAAAUGAUCAAUUUAGUUGUUUUGCUUGGUUACAUAUCACUACUGUUAAAGAGAAACACUCCUCCAACUGCUGAUCAGUCUGUUCAGUGUCACCUUGUGAUGUUCUUACACUGGAAACUGUGAUCAUGCAGAUGUAACAUCAUUUUCCAUCUGUUUUCUCUUCCUCUGUCCCUUCUCAAGUGGAAAAAUGAGGUUUGUGGACUGCUGAUGUGAAGCCUCAAGUUUGGCAGGAUGGCUGUUGUCAUCUUGUGUUUUUUAUUGGAGCCAGAAGUGACCUUUUUGGAUGAGAGGGUGGAGCUGCGGGGAGGAGAUUCUGAUUGACUCCGAUGGAGAACCUGAAGACAAGCUGUAGACAGAUGUUGGUAUGAAGCAUCUGUUUUUGCACUACAUGGGACCAAAAUAUACAAGAUGAACAGCAUGAGCUGGAGAAGACUUGUGACUACUGACAGACUCAUGAGGACAUUGUUCACUGAAUGCAAUGAAUCAAGUGUGCAGCAGGGUCAUUUUCUCAUAAGCUUAUAUACACUCAGACUUUCUGAAACCAGCAGCCAUGGUUUUUUUUUUUUUACUCCUCUUUUGUUCCCGCUCACUGAUCUUCACACACUUGUGUGUUUUGUGUGUGUGUGCUGCCUCUAGCUCGAGGCACUGUGUUGCAGGCUUCGAUCAACGAGCUGUCACUGCCGGAAUGAACACACACACACACACACACACACACACACACACACACACACACACACACACACACACACACACACACACACAGCUGCAGGAAACACUGACCUCCUUGUUAACCUCGGACAUGUUGUUCAUUUUCUGCAGUAAGAAAACAAACCUGCUGUUUCUGGGAGGUCAGGAAGUCGUGCUGAUGUUGUUUUCUUCUCUCUGUUCUUGUUCCAUUCAUAAUUAAUUCAUUUAUUAUUUCUACAUCUUUUCUCACACAGUUAUUCUGCUUCCGGCGACAUCAAUUCUGCAGGAUAAUUAAUUUUUUUUUGAAAUGCUUGGCCGUCUGAUGAAGCAUUCACAAAUACUUCAAAACCAUUGUGCCCUUUUUCUGAACUCUGACGAAUUUCCUCUGGAAUUUUCAUGAAUUGAUGCAAUUUUUAGUUUAAAAAAAUGUCCCAGAUGAUGAGCGGUGAGUCAUGUUUGCAUGAGAUCACAUCUAGUGCCUUUCAGAGAGGAGAUAGUCCUCAAAUGUUGGUCCAGUUAACUGAAAUUAAUGUUGGACUGUGUGUUUUUCUGUUGCACUUUUUCUCAGCGCAGUAGAUGGUCUGCAGUCAUGUGAUUGCUGUGAAAUACAGAUGGAGGGUGACGGUGUGAAGCUGAAUGGAGGAGAUGGAGGAUACAAGAGAAAUGUCACCUCACAUUAAUUUAACCACCGGCGUGUCAAAGCAUCUCGUUUCAAACACACGUGACAUAAUCUGUCUCUACCGCACAUGAAUAAUGAUGGAGACUGACGUUCAGAAGUUCCUCAGUUUGGCUCAUUAUUAUUGGUUAGAUGCGUCUUCAACAGUGUUAUUUUCUUAAUGUCCAUUGUAAAGUGAUGCUGUCGGAUCUGUGAAGCUGACUCACUCCAUAAUUUGAUAUUUAUAAUGUUUCUCAAGGUCUUCUUUAGCAUGGUGAGCAAUAAAAGUACAAUGAACUCUGA